This 253-nucleotide ribosomal RNA is filed under the name uncultured bacterium. RNAcentral's name for it is "partial 16S ribosomal RNA". It matches the Rfam family "Bacterial small subunit ribosomal RNA", at positions 524 to 776 of the family's 1533-position model. RNAcentral also lists the same sequence under 2 other names. The record is from RNAcentral.
UACGGAGGGUGCAAGCGUUAUCCGGAUUCACUGGGUUUAAAGGGUGCGUAGGCGGGUAUGUAAGUCAGUGGUGAAAUACCGGAGCUUAACUUCGGAACUGCCAUUGAUACUAUAUAUCUUGAAUAUUGUGGAGGUAAGCGGAAUAUGUCAUGUAGCGGUGAAAUGCUUAGAGAUGACAUAGAACACCGAUUGCGAAGGCAGCUUGCUACGCAAAUAUUGACGCUGAGGCACGAAAGCGUGGGGAUCAAACAGG